GAUGAAGAACGUAGUGAAAUGCGAUAAGUAAUGUGAAUUGCAGAAUUCAGUGAAUCAUCGAAUCUUUGAACGCACAUUGCGCCCGCCAGCAUUCUGGCGGGCAUGCCUGUUCGAGCGUCAUUUCAACCCUCGACCUCCCUUUGGGGAAGUCGGCGUUGGGGACCGGCAGCACACCGCCGGCCCUGAAAUGGAGUGGCGGCCCGUCCGCGGCGACCUCUGCGUAGUAAUCCAACUCGCACCGGAACCCCGACGCGGCCACGCCGUAAAACACCCAACUUCUGAACGUUGACCUCGAAUCAGGUAGGACUACCCGCUGAACUUAAGCAUAUCAAUAAGCGGAGGA
RNAcentral lists this unclassified non-coding RNA (343 nucleotides) under soil metagenome. RNAcentral's name for it is "partial contains 5.8S ribosomal RNA, internal transcribed spacer 2, and large subunit ribosomal RNA". The stretch from base 1 to 120 matches the Rfam family "5.8S ribosomal RNA", at positions 35 to 154 of the family's 154-position model. The record is from RNAcentral.